Molecule: ribosomal RNA, 850 nt
Filed under: Halomonas sp. S4-1
Lineage: Bacteria; Pseudomonadati; Pseudomonadota; Gammaproteobacteria; Oceanospirillales; Halomonadaceae
Description: bacterial SSU rRNA
Rfam family: Bacterial small subunit ribosomal RNA
Source: RNAcentral
AGCGGCGGACGGGUGAGUAAUGCAUAGAAAUCUGCCCGGUAGUGGGGGAUAACCUGGGGAAACCCAGGCUAAUACCGCAUACGUCCUACGGGAGAAAGCAGGGGAUCUUCGGACCUUGCGCUAUCGGAUGAGUCUAUGUCGGAUUAGCUUGUUGGUGAGGUAAUGGCUCACCAAGGCGACGAUCCGUAGCUGGUCUGAGAGGAUGAUCAGCCACAUCGGGACUGAGACACGGCCCGAACUCCUACGGGAGGCAGCAGUGGGGAAUAUUGGACAAUGGGCGAAAGCCUGAUCCAGCCAUGCCGCGUGUGUGAAGAAGGCCUUCGGGUUGUAAAGCACUUUCAGUGGGGAAGAAAGCCUUGGGGCUAAUACCCUCGAGGAAGGACAUCACCCACAGAAGAAGCACCGGCUAACUCCGUGCCAGCAGCCGCGGUAAUACGGAGGGUGCGAGCGUUAAUCGGAAUUACUGGGCGUAAAGCGCGCGUAGGCGGUCUGAUAAGCCGGUUGUGAAAGCCCCGGGCUCAACCUGGGAACGGCAUCCGGAACUGUCAGGCUAGAGUGCAGGAGAGGAAGGUAGAAUUCCCGGUGUAGCGGUGAAAUGCGUAGAGAUCGGGAGGAAUACCAGUGGCGAAGGCGGCCUUCUGGACUGACACUGACGCUGAGGUGCGAAAGCGUGGGUAGCAAACAGGAUUAGAUACCCUGGUAGUCCACGCCGUAAACGAUGUCGACUAGCCGUUGGGCUCCUUGAGAGCUUUGUGGCGCAGUUAACGCGAUAAGUCGACCGCCUGGGGAGUACGGCCGCAAGGUUAAAACUCAAAUGAAUUGACGGGGGCCCGCACAAGCGGUGGAGCAU